Molecule: unclassified non-coding RNA, 1678 nt
Filed under: Pogonomyrmex barbatus (red harvester ant)
Lineage: Eukaryota; Metazoa; Arthropoda; Insecta; Hymenoptera; Formicidae
Description: bardet-Biedl syndrome 4 protein, transcript variant X4
Source: RNAcentral
UGAUUGCUUCGGUUACCAUGGCGAUCCAAUUUGCAAAACAUACAAAUUCUCUUUUCUUCAAAUAUACUAAGAACCAAACGGACGGGCACGUAGGCAAGUUAAACGAAAAAAACUACCGUUAUUAUACCGUUAUAAAAAACUAUCGUCGUAUUAUCAAUUAGUCAAAGUUUUGUAUAAAUAAUGGCAAAUGAUGUUCUCAGCAACGGUCGUUUACAAGAAAGUACAGUCGUGCAACGAACAAGAAACAACAGAAGCAAGAGAGCUCCGGAUAUAGCAGCUAUAGAAAGUCGUAAUUGGUUGUUACAUCGACAUUACACAAGACAUGAGUACAGCUCGUGCAAGUUACUUAUCGAGCAAGAAUUGGCGAAAUCAAAUGGCCACGAAUAUGCUAAUUAUUUGAAGGGCUUAAUUCUAAGAAAAGAGGGCAAGAUUCAAGAUUCUCUGGAUUGCUUUCAAAUUGCAUACAACGUCAAUUUAACAAAUGUUGAUAACAUUAAACAGAUAGCAAAAUCACUAUUAAUAAUAGGAAGUCAUAAACGUGCGAUAGAUGCAUAUAUGGAAGCUGAAAAGAUAUCUGCUGUACCAGAUUGGGAAAUAUAUCAUGGUCUUGGCGAAGCUUAUGUGAAAUUGAACCAAUUACAAGAGGCUAAAAAACAUUUUAAGAGAUCUACAGAAUUAACCAAAAGGGAAUUGCCCAAUAUUGAUCUCGCAAGAUUGUAUCUCUCGGAUGACAUGAUUCCAGAGGCCAGAAACGCUUAUAUGGUAGCUUUGAAUGGAAAUCCCCAAAGUAUUGAUGCAGCGACCGAAUUGGGUCUCUUGUAUCUUAGAAUUGGAGAUAUGCAACGAGCAUUUCAGCAAUUUGGAGCAGCUUUGGCUUAUUCGUCUAAUUGCGUCAAAGCAAUUUUACCUAUGGCUUAUAUAAUGCAAGCUAUUAGUUCGUUGAAGCGUGCGCAUUAUUUGAACCCGAUGUCUUGCAUUCCGUCAUGCAACCUGGGAAUCGUUUUUCUCACCACUGGCCAACCUGCAUCAGCUGCGAUUUAUCUAUGUGCUGCAAUUAACGCUGAACCAAAGAAUCCUAUACCAUAUCUAUUGUUAGGUUUGGCUUUAAAACGUUUGGAUGAUCUAGAAGGCGCCGAAAGAUCAUUAACGAAAGCACAUGCAUUAGCUCCUCAGGAUCCGUUAAUAUUGAUUAAUUAUGCUGUGGUACUGGAUGCUCAUCGUAAACAAGCUAACGCUACUGAGAUUUUAAUAUUACUUAAUGAUAUUAUGGCUGUUGUUGAAGUCGAUGCACAGAUAUCACAGAUGGCAAAGAAGUUGUCAAAGAAAUUACAACACGAAAGAGCAGAAUUGAAUAUCGAUCAAGAUAUGACAACAGAGGGGCUAUUUCUACGCUAUUUUUCGUCCAGAUGGGAUAUUUUCACCAAUCUUUUUAACUGGUCGGACGAGAGAAUUGUGUUGAGCGGACGCGCGUUCAAAUUGAAAUCAGCUUCUAAGUCUGCGUCUAUUUCUGCGAACUCCCUAAUAAAUUGAGCCAAUGAAAAUCUGAAUGAGAUCGCUGUUCGAACAUCAACUUUGACGGUGACGCCUUAAUACUAGAAUGCUCUAACUAUCUCUUUCGUCGAGGUUGACUUGACUGUGUGCAACCAGGAAAAACGAGAGAAUGCAUCAACAAUUAUUA